GAUGAACGCUGGCGGCGUGCUUAACACAUGCAAGUCGAACGGAAAGGCCCAAGCUUGCUUGGGUCCUCGAGUGCCGAACGGGUGAGUAACACGUGUGUGAUCUGCCCUUCACUUCGGGAUAAGCCUGGGAAACUGGGUCUAAUACCGGAUAGAACCACUUCUUGGAUGUUGUGGUGGAGAGUUUUCUCGGUUUGGGAUGAGCUCGCGGCGUAUCAGCUUGUUGGUGGGGUGAUGGCCUACCAAGGCGUCGACGGGGAGCCGGCAUGUGAGGGUGUACGGACACACUGGGACUCUGAUACAGGCCAGACUCCUGAAGGAGGCAGAAGUGGGGAAUAUUGCACAAUGGGAGGAAGCCUGAGGCAGGGAGGUCGCGUGGGCGAUGACGGCCUUCAGGUUGUAAAAUCCUUUCGGUAGGGACGAAGCGAUUUUGUGACGGUACCUAGUGAAGAAGCACCGGCUAACUACGUG
Molecule: ribosomal RNA, 468 nt
Filed under: uncultured bacterium
Lineage: Bacteria
Description: partial 16S ribosomal RNA
Rfam family: Bacterial small subunit ribosomal RNA
Source: RNAcentral